Molecule: long non-coding RNA, 684 nt
Organism: Callithrix jacchus (white-tufted-ear marmoset)
Lineage: Eukaryota; Metazoa; Chordata; Mammalia; Primates; Cebidae
Source: RefSeq, a predicted model, not a curated record
CCGGAAACAGAGUGGAAGGUUACAAAAUUUCUAAGAGCAGAAGUGGUUUUCAAGUAGUAAGUGGAAACAAAAAAUAACCUAACCUCUUUAAGAUAACCACCAGAACCAGCAAGAGAGUGCUGCUGUGCUGUGUGAGGAAAUGUGCUGGCCAAGGCAGUGAAUUAGCGGCAUGUCUGUGUGACUUAGUGAGGUGGCUUCAGUAAAGACACGGAGAGCCUUCCAGCCUCUGCUAUUCAAGGUGAUUGCAGUUGUGAAAUACACAUGCCUUCACUAUAAGGGGAAAUGGAGCAGUUCUAACUUCCUCCUUUUUUUGAGAACUUAAGUACAAAACCUCCUGAUAUUCAAGCCAAUACUGUAUCAACAAAGUUAAUUUGAGCAAACUUUGAACACCCUUUGCAGGCCCUGUUCUGGAAUCCUUCCAGUGGUGACCCUCAAACUUUAGCAUGCAAAAAUACAAAUCUGCUAGGGAACUGAUCAACGGUGCAGAUUUCUGAGCGCCACCUCCUGAGAUUCUGAUUCAUUGAUUUGACGACAGCUAGAAUCUGCAUUUUAACAACUCCAGUGUUCAUAUGUAGUCUACCUAAGCACUCUCUGAGACAAGCAACAACUGCCUUGUGAACUUCGAGCCAAUGGAAAACCUGACUGGGAAACUUGUUUCAUCAUUAAACCAACUUUACAAUCUCA